GUGCCAGCAGCCGCGGUAAAACGUAGGAGGCGAGCGUUAUCCGGAUUUACUGGGUGUAAAGCGCGAGCAGGCGGUCUUGUAAGUGGUGUGUGAAAGCGCUCAGGCUCAACCGGGCGAGGACAUGCCAGACUGCGAGACUGGAGGCAGGUAGAGGCGAGUGGAAUUCCGGGUGUAGUGGUGAAAUGCGUAGAGAUCCGGAGGAACACCAGUGGCGAAGGCGACUCGCUGGGCCUGGCCUGACGCUCAGUCGCGAAAGCAUGGGGAGCAAACGGGAUUAGAAACCCGUGUAGUCC
Molecule: ribosomal RNA, 293 nt
Filed under: uncultured bacterium
Lineage: Bacteria
Description: partial 16S ribosomal RNA
Rfam family: Bacterial small subunit ribosomal RNA
Source: RNAcentral